GAGGAGGGAAAGCGGCGAGUAAGAUGGAAGAUGAGGAGGUCGCUGAGAGCUGGGAAGAGGCGGCAGACAGCGGGGGCUGGUGUGAGCAGAAAAUGAAUGUCUGGGGAAGAAUGUUGACAGCCAUAAUACAUUAUAUCGAUAUAAGGAAAUAGACAGACGGUUGGAAAAAAAACUGAAGAUCACACAAAAAGAGAGGAAAUCCAAAUCUCCUCCCAAAGUGCCCAUUGUGAUUCAGGACGAUAGCCUUCCCGCGGGGCCCCCUCCACAGAUCCGCAUCCUCAAGAGGCCCACCAGCAACGGUGUGGUCAGCAGCCCCAACUCCACCAGCAGGCCCACCCUUCCAGUCAAGUCCCUAGCACAGCGAGAGGCCGAGUACGCCGAGGCCCGGAAGCGGAUCCUGGGCAGCGCCAGCCCCGAGGAGGAGCAGGAGAAACCCAUCCUCGACAGGCCAACCAGGAUCUCCCAACCCGAAGACAGCAGGCAGCCCAAUAAUGUGAUCAGACAGCCUUUGGGUCCUGAUGGGUCUCAAGGCUUCAAACAGCGCAGAUA
RNAcentral lists this unclassified non-coding RNA (549 nucleotides) under Homo sapiens (human). RNAcentral's name for it is "SUZ RNA binding domain containing 1 (ENSG00000291379.1)". Lineage: Eukaryota; Metazoa; Chordata; Mammalia; Primates; Hominidae. The record is from RNAcentral.